AGAGUUUGAUCAUGGCUCAGAUUGAACGCUGGCGGUAGGCUUAACACAUGCAAGUCGUGCGAGAAAGUAUCUUCGGAUAUGAGUAGAGCGGCGGACGGGUGAGUAACGCGUAGGAAUCUACCUAGUAGAAGGGGAUAGCCCGGGGAAACUCGGAUUAAUACCGUAUACCUCCUUCGGGAGAAAGAAGGCCUCUCUUUGAUGCUUUCGCUAUUAGAUGAGCCUGCGUAAGAUUAGCUUGUUGGUGAGGUAAAGGCUCACCAAGGCAACGAUCUUUAGCUGGUCUGAGAGGACGAUCAGCCACAUUGGGACUGAGACACGGCCCAGACUCCUACGGGAGGCAGCAGUGGGGAAUAUUGGACAAUGGGCGCAAGCCUGAUCCAGCCAUACCGCGUGUGUGAAGAAGGCCUUCGGGUUGUAAAGCACUUUAAGCAGGGAGAAAAAGUUAUAAGUUAAUACCUUAUAACCGUGAUGUUACCUGCAGAAUAAGCACCGGCUAAUUCCGUGCCAGCAGCCGCGGUAAUACGGAAGGUGCAAGCGUUAAUCGGAAUUACUGGGCGUAAAGCGCGCGUAGGUGGUUUGUUAAGUUGGAUGUGAAAGCCCUGGGCUCAACCUAGGAACUGCAUCCAAAACUAACUCACUAGAGUACGAUAGAGGGAGGUAGAAUUCAUAGUGUAGCGGUGGAAUGCGUAGAUAUUAUGAAG
Molecule: ribosomal RNA, 701 nt
Filed under: uncultured bacterium
Lineage: Bacteria
Description: bacterial SSU rRNA
Rfam family: Bacterial small subunit ribosomal RNA
Source: RNAcentral